UGUUUGUGAUUGCUUUCCCCUGGUGGCGGGCGCGGGGGUGGUGGUGGUGGAGGAGAUGGCGUUGGUGGAGAAUUUUCUUUUCUUGGGAAUUCAUAAUCAUUUUCAUCCGCUUUCUCUACCUUUUCUUUACGUGGAACGGAACAGUUUUACAAGUUCGCCUUUGUUUGUGAUUGCUUUCCCCUGGUGGCGGUGGAGGAUCAACAGGAAUUUCCUUAACAUUAGAUUCUUCAAAUACACUUCGCUGCCUGCCAUGAUA
This 256-nucleotide unclassified non-coding RNA is filed under the name Hevea brasiliensis (rubber tree). Lineage: Eukaryota; Viridiplantae; Streptophyta; Magnoliopsida; Malpighiales; Euphorbiaceae. The record is from RNAcentral.